This 2875-nucleotide ribosomal RNA is filed under the name bioreactor metagenome. Its description in RNAcentral is "bacterial LSU rRNA". It matches the Rfam family "Bacterial large subunit ribosomal RNA". The record is from RNAcentral.
GGUUACUUUAAGAGCAGAUGGUGGAUGCCUUGGGAUAUUGAGGCGACGAAGGACGUAGCGUAGCUGCGAUAAGCUUCGGGGAGGUGCGUAGCAACCUUUGAUCCGGAGAUUUCCGAAUGGGAGUACCCGUUUCGGACUAACCCGAAACAGCCUCUUUUAGAGGCGGCGAACCCGCUGAAGUGAAACAUCUCAGUAAGCGGAGGAAGAGAAAUCGUAAGAGAACCCCCUAGUAGCGGCGAGCGAAAAGGGGCAUGUCUAAACUUUUAGCAGAGCUUAGCUCAGCUGAGAGGGUUGUAGGGAGUACCAUUAAGGGAUGGCGGCUGUUAGCCGAACCGUUCUGGAAAGUGUGGGCCACAGAGGGUGAUAGCCCCGUAGGCGAAAACGGCCAAAUUCCUGGUUCUUACCUGAGUACCGUUGGGACAGAAAACCCAGCGGGAAUCAUCCCGAACUGCCGGGAAAGACUAAAUACUCAAUAUCACCGAUAGUGAACUAGUACCGUGAGGGAAAGGUGAAAAGCAGCCCGAUGAGGGCGUUGAAAUAGACCUGAAACCAUCAUGCUCACAAGGACUCGGAGCAGCUUUCGAGCUGUGACGGGGUGCUUUUUGCAGAACGAGCCAACGAGUUUAUUUAAGUCGCAAGUUUAAUCGGGGUCUCCCCGAGAAGCGUAGUGAAAGCGAGGGUUAAUAGCCCGCCUAGCGGCUUGAGUAAGACCCGAAGCCAGGCGAUCCUGCCAUGGCCAGGAUGAAGCGCGUGGAAGCAUGCGUGGAGGUCCGAACCCGUGAGUGUAGCAAAACUCUGGGAUGAGCUGUGGCAAGCGGUGAAAAGUCAAUCGAGCCUGGGAAUAGCUGGUUCUUCUCGAAAUAGCUUUAGGGCUAGCGUCCGAUGCUUCGUCCGGGAGGUAGAGCACUGGAUAGACUUGGUUGGGUUCGUCCCGCCCUGUUUAACCAAACUCCGAAUUCCUGGUGCGUUUGAGUCGGGCAGUCAGUCUGUGGGCGCUAAGGUCCAUGGACAAGAGGGAAACAACCCAGACCAUCGUCUAAGGUCCCUAAAUUAGACUAAGUGCAUUAAGGAAGUGGAAUUUCUCAGAUACCUGGAAGGUUUGCUUAGAAGCAGCAAUCCUUUAAAAAGUGCGUAAUAGCUUACCAGCUCAGAAAUUCCGCGCCGAAGAUUUACGGGCCUAAGUCUAAUACCGAAGACAUGGAAUUAACUCUUUUGAGUUAGUUGGUAGAGGAGCGUUCUUCCAGCGUCGAAGUCGUAGCGAAAGCUACGGUGGAGCGGGGAGAAGUGAGAAUGUUGGCACGAGUAACCGCAACUCAGGUGAAAGCCCUGAGCACCGAAAACCUAAGGUUUCCUUGGCAAUGGCAAUCAUCCAAGGGUUAGGCGGGCCUAAGGUCAACCCGAAAGGGGUAGCCGAUGGACAGCUGGUUAAUACUCCAGCCCGCCUGUCGGGUAGUGCUGAGAUGACGAAGAGUAGUAACCGGAUCCCAUUACUGGAUUUGGGUCGGCGGGCUAAGGAGCAAUCCAAGGUCAACCGAAAUUCUUCCUCUUGGGGAAGAAAAUUCCGGCCAGCACUCUUCCCGGAAAAGUUUCAGUAACGUUCCCGUCAGGCUCCGUACCGCAAACCGACACAGGUAGGUAGGCAUAAAAGUGCUAAGGUGAACGGGUAAAAUCUCGUUAAGGAACUCGGCAAAACAGUGUCCGUAAGUUUGCAAUAAGGACUCCCCAGGCUUGCCUGGGGCGCAGCGAACGAUUCUCUGGCGACUGUUUAUCAAAAACACAGGUCUCUGCUAACUCGUAAGAGGAUGUAUAGAGGCUGACGCCUGACCAGUGCCGUAAGGUUAACCUUGGCGGUCUGAAUCUUUGGAUUCGGGCUGACUGAGCGAAGCCCCGGUAAACGUCCGCGGUAACUCUGACCGUGUUAAAGUAGCGUAAUCCCUUGCCUGGUAAGUUCAGGCCCGCAUGAAAGGCGUAACGACCGGAGAACUGUCUCAACGAGAUGCCCGGUGAAAAUGCAGUACCGGUGAAGAUGCCGGUUACCUGCGGCUAGACGGAAAGACCCCGGGAGCUUUACUAUAACCAGAUAUUGACCUAGGGUUAUAAUUGCGUAGCGUAGGUGGGAGACUUUGAAACCUGACUUUCGGGUUGGGUGGAGUCGCCAAUGAAACACCACCCUGUUAUGGUCUUAGUUCUAACCGAGCCGCCUCAAAAACGGCCGGGACAUUGUUUGGGGGUUAGUUUGAGUGGGGCGCUCGCCUCCUAAAUGGUAACGGAGGCGCCUUAAGGUCAGCUAGCUUCGGAUGGAAAUCGAAGCGAUAGGGCAAAGCCAUAAGCUGGCUUUACUGCAAGGCGGCUAUGCCGCGCAGUCUCGAAAGAGGAGCUUAGUGAACCGACCGUAAUUCGUAGAACUACGGAAGAUCAUCAGAUAAAAGCUACCCCGGGGAUAACAGGUUAGUAGGGCCCACGAGUCCAUAUCUACGGCCCUGUUCGACACCUCGAUGUCGGCUCAAGAUAUCCUGGAGCUGGAGAAGGUUCCAAGGGUUCGGCUGUUCGCCGAUUAAAAUCUUACGCGAGCUGGGUUCAGACCGUCGUGAGACAGGUCGGUCCCUAUCUACCGCAGGCGCUAAAUCUUGAGGAGAGUCGUUCCUAGUACGAGAGGACCGGAAUGAACUGACCUCUGGUGUACCAGUUGUUCCGCCAGGAGCAUUGCUGGGUAGCUAUGUCGGGAAGGGAUAAGCACUGAAAGCAUCUAAAGUGCGAAGCCCACUCCAAGAUUAGGAUUUAUAGAUCCCCGGAAGACGACCGGGUUGAUAGGCUUCAGGUGUAAGUGCCGUAAGGCAUUAAGCCGAGAAGUACUAAUGAUCUUAAACCUUCUUUU